ACUCAAAACUCAAAGGACUUGACGGUGUCCCAAACCAACCUAGAGGAGCCUGUCCUAUAAUCGAUAACCCACGUUACACCCCACCCCCCCUCGAAAUCAGCCUGUAUACCGCCGUCUCUCAGUUCGCCUUAUGACAGACCCAAAGCGAACACAAUAGCCCAACACUAAUACGUCAGGUCAAGGUGCAGCCAAUGGGGGGGGCAGAGAUGGGCUACAUUUUCUACCACAACAGAACAUCACCAACCACCACAUGAAAUAUGAGUGACAAGGCGGAUUUAGCAGUAAGCCAGACA
Molecule: ribosomal RNA, 293 nt
Filed under: Tarentola fascicularis (Wolfgang's wall gecko)
Lineage: Eukaryota; Metazoa; Chordata; Lepidosauria; Squamata; Phyllodactylidae
Description: partial 12S ribosomal RNA
Rfam family: Bacterial small subunit ribosomal RNA
Source: RNAcentral